UGGGGAAUGGUGUAACGGCAGCACCUACGACUCUGACUCGUAUAGUCUAGGUUCGAAUCCUAGUUCCCCAGCCA
This 74-nucleotide transfer RNA is filed under the name Clostridiales bacterium. Its description in RNAcentral is "tRNA-Gln". It matches the Rfam family "tRNA". From Rfam's summary of the family: Transfer RNA (tRNA) molecules are approximately 80 nucleotides in length. Their secondary structure includes four short double-helical elements and three loops (D, anti-codon, and T loops). Further hydrogen bonds mediate the characteristic L-shaped molecular structure. tRNAs have two regions of fundamental functional importance: the anti-codon, which is responsible for specific mRNA codon recognition, and the 3' end, to which the tRNAs corresponding amino acid is attached (by aminoacyl-tRNA synthetases). tRNAs cope with the degeneracy of the genetic code in two manners: having more than one tRNA (with a specific anti-codon) for a particular amino acid; and 'wobble' base-pairing, i.e. permitting non-standard base-pairing at the 3rd anti-codon position. Lineage: Bacteria; Bacillati; Bacillota; Clostridia; Eubacteriales. The record is from RNAcentral. RNAcentral also lists the same sequence under 1 other name.